CCUACGGGACGCAGCAGUGGGGGAUAUUGCACAAUGGGGGAAACCCUGAUGCAGCGACGCCGCGUGAGUGAAGAAGCAUUUCGGUGUGUAAAGCUCUAUCAGCAGGGAAGAAGAAAUGACGGUACCCGACUAAGAAGCCCCGGCUAACUACGUGCCAGCAGCCGCGGUAAUACGUAGGGGGCAAGCGUUAUCCGGAUUUACUGGGUGUAAAGGGAGCGUAGACGGCAAUGCAAGUCCGAUGUGAAAGCCCGGGGCUCAACCCCGGGACUGCACUGGAAACUGUCGUGCUGGAGUGUCGGAGGGGG
This 305-nucleotide ribosomal RNA is filed under the name uncultured bacterium. RNAcentral's name for it is "bacterial SSU rRNA". It matches the Rfam family "Bacterial small subunit ribosomal RNA", at positions 338 to 658 of the family's 1533-position model. The record is from RNAcentral.